RNAcentral lists this ribosomal RNA (497 nucleotides) under fungal sp. CSE12. RNAcentral's name for it is "eukaryotic LSU rRNA". The stretch from base 140 to 293 matches the Rfam family "5.8S ribosomal RNA". The record is from RNAcentral. Lineage: Eukaryota; Fungi.
AACUCCCCAAACCCCUGUGAACAUACCACUUGUUGCCUCGGCGGAUCAGCCCGCUCCCGGUAAAACGGGACGGCCCGCCAGAGGACCCCUAAACUCUGUUUCUAUAUGUAACUUCUGAGUAAAACCAUAAAUAAAUCAAAACUUUCAACAACGGAUCUCUUGGUUCUGGCAUCGAUGAAGAACGCAGCAAAAUGCGAUAAGUAAUGUGAAUUGCAGAAUUCAGUGAAUCAUCGAAUCUUUGAACGCACAUUGCGCCCGCCAGUAUUCUGGCGGGCAUGCCUGUUCGAGCGUCAUUUCAACCCUCAAGCACAGCUUGGUGUUGGGACUCGCGUUAAUUCGCGUUCCUCAAAUUGAUUGGCGGUCACGUCGAGCUUCCAUAGCGUAGUAGUAAAACCCUCGUUACUGGUAAUCGUCGCGGCCACGCCGUUAAACCCCAACUUCUGAAUGUUGACCUCGGAUCAGGUAGGAAUACCCGCUGAACUUAAGCAUAUCAAUAG